Molecule: ribosomal RNA, 491 nt
Filed under: uncultured bacterium
Lineage: Bacteria
Description: partial 16S ribosomal RNA
Rfam family: Bacterial small subunit ribosomal RNA
Source: RNAcentral
AGUGAACGCUGGCGGUAGGCCUAACACAUGCAAGUCGAACGGCAGCACAGUAAGAGCUUGCUCGUAUGGGUGGCGAGUGGCGGACGGGUGGGGAAUACAUCGGAAUCUACUUUUUCGUGGGGGAUAACGGAGGGAAACUUACGCUAAUACCGCAUACUACCUACGGGUGAAAGCAGGGGAUCUUCGGACCUUGCGCGAUUGAAUGAGCCGAUGUCGGAUUAGCUAGUUUGGGGGGUAAAGGCCCACCAAGGCGACGAUCCGUAGCUGGUCUGAGAGGAUGAGCAGCCACACUGUAGCUGUGAGACGCUCCCGACUCCUACGCGAGGCAGCGGUGGGGAGUAUUGGACACUGGGCGCAAGCCUGUUCCAGCCCUACCGCGUGGGUGAAGAAGGCCUUCGGGUUGUAAAGCCCUUUUGUUGGGAAAGAAAAGCAGCAGGUUAAUACCCCGCUGUUCUGCCGGUACCCAAAGAAUAAGCCCCGGCUACCUUCGU